UACGGAGGGUGCAAUCGUUAUCCGGAAUUACUGGGUUUAAAGGGUGCGUAGGCGGCUUGAUAAGUCAGGGGUGGAAGCCUAUCGAUUAACGAUAGAAUUGCCUUUGAUACUGUAAAGCUUGAAAGGGGUUGAGGUCAGCAGAAUGUGGCAUGUAGCGGUGAAAUGCAUAGAUAUGCCAUAGAACACCGAUUGCGAAGGCAGCUGGCUCGGCCUACUUUGACGCUGAGGCACGAAAGCGUGGGGAGCGUGCAGG
RNAcentral lists this ribosomal RNA (253 nucleotides) under uncultured bacterium. RNAcentral describes it as "partial 16S ribosomal RNA". It matches the Rfam family "Bacterial small subunit ribosomal RNA", at positions 524 to 776 of the family's 1533-position model. The record is from RNAcentral.